Long non-coding RNA from Cydia amplana, 360 nucleotides. RefSeq lists it as uncharacterized. The record is from RefSeq and is a predicted model, not a curated record. NCBI's taxonomy places the organism in Eukaryota, Metazoa, Arthropoda, Insecta, Lepidoptera, Tortricidae. The transcript is spliced from 2 exons.
UGGUAUAUAAGGUGGCGUUGGUAGUGACACUAUUAUCACUUGUUACCAGUACAAGCUCGACAGCAAUCAUGUUCUUCAAAGUGUUUACCUUCCUCGCCCUCGUGGCUGUUGCCUUCGCCAAGCCCGAGCCAAAGCCCGAGCCGCAGGUGGUGGCGUACUCCGCUCCCGCCGUGGUGCCCGCGGUGGGCUACUCCGGCUACUCGGCGUACUCCCCGUACACCUACUCUGCCCCGCUCGCCGCCGCCUCAGGCUACCCCUACGCCUACUCAGGAUACUACCUUCGUUAAAAACUGUUAAUACGACCGCCAGCGUAUGGACUCUGAAAUGCUUUACGAUUAUUAAAUGAACUUUUUAAACAAA